GAUGAACGCUGGCGGCGUGCCUAAUACAUGCAAGUCGAGCGAACGGACGAGAAGCUUGCUUCUCUGAUGUUAGCGGCGGACGGGUGAGUAACACGUGGAUAACCUACCUAUAAGACUGGGAUAACUUCGGGAAACCGGAGCUAAUACCGGAUGAUAUUUUGAACCGCAUGGUUCAAAAGUGAAAGACGGUCUUGCUGUCACUUAUAGAUGGAUCCGCGCUGCAUUAGCUAGUUGGUAAGGUAACGGCUUACCAAGGCAACGAUGCAUAGCCGACCUGAGAGGGUGAUCGGCCACACGGGAACUGAGACACGGUCCAGACUCCUACGGGAGGCAGCAGUAGGGAAUCUUACGCAAUGGGCGAAAGCCUGACGGAGCAACGCCGCGUGAGUGAUGAAGGUCUUCGGAUCGUAAAACUCUGUUAUUAGGGAAGAACAUAUGUGUAAGUAACUGUGCACAUCUUGACGGUACCUAAUCAGAAAGCCACGGCUAACUACGUG
This 497-nucleotide ribosomal RNA is filed under the name uncultured bacterium. RNAcentral describes it as "partial 16S ribosomal RNA". It matches the Rfam family "Bacterial small subunit ribosomal RNA", at positions 28 to 507 of the family's 1533-position model. The record is from RNAcentral.